UGAUUCGGCUAAAACCGCCAAAUUUUUAGCCAAAUAUUAAACUUCCCUCUCGAAUGAAAAAGGGAUCGGCCUUCGGUCAAACUCUGCUCACUCUCUCCCUCUCCCUCUCAAAAUCUCCUCCCGCUCCAAAACCCUAACCAUUGCCGCUGCUUCUUCUCCUCCACUCGCAACCCAAUCCCCGCCGCCCAGCCUUCCCUCCUCGUCUUCUCCGGCUGAACCGCCUUCAACGGCGUCGUCGAGGAGCUCAAGAACUUCACCACUCGCGUCGCCCACGUGCUUCCCGUUUCCCGUUUCCCGCGACGGAGGAAGCACUGCCGAGAUUGUCCGCGUCCUUGAGAUUGGCCGGUAAAAGCACAUCCGAGGCGGUCGCCGUCCGGCAAUUGCUUGGCCGGCCAAAAUCUCAAACCAGCUCUCCACCUCCGCCAAAAUCAAGUCGCUCUCCGACCUCUCGAUUAUCAAAUCGGCCUCCCAAUUUGAUUUUUUUUUUUGAAUUUGAUGCCAACAUUAGUUCAAUUUAAUCCAUUUGUAUGUGUUAUUUGGUUGAUUUGGAUUUGUAUAUCAGUUUGAUUUGAUUCUUUUCUUUUAAAUUUACUGAAUUGCAAUUUCAAGUUUGAAUUUUGAUCGCCUACUUGAAUUUGGUGAAUUUUGUUCAGGUGAUCUUAUAUUCCGUGCAGAAAAGAGACCUUCCUUGAUCUUAUUACUUCUGAUCUGGCCGAGUUCCAGUUUACAGAAGGUAGCCGGGAGCUCUGAGUACCAACUGGACUAGAGUGAGAUCAGUUCAUGGAACUGGCUUUGUACACCACAUAGCUAACUCAAAAGGCGAAGAAGUAUCAUGAUGGUUUCUUGCAACUAGCAAUUACUGGGUCUCAUGGAAAGCAGAUAGCUGGGCAUUGGAUCUUUUCUUUCCUCCAGAUUUUGCAGAUGAUUUCCCAGUUGCCAUACAGAACUUGACUGGAAUUAAAUGUUUAUCUGAGGCCAAAGUCGAUAAAAUUUGUAAAACUGCUGAGAAGAUAGUGGUUAGUGCUCAAACUUGUCAUAAUCUGAAAUCCAUUGUCUUCAUCAGCUUCUGGCACAAUGACAAGUCUGCAAAAAACUACUCUAAGGGUGUGGGAUGUCCUUUUCUACGAAGGGGCGAAAGUUAUGUUUCAUGUGGCUUUGGCAAUCUUUAAGAUGAAGGAACAGGAGUUGCUUCUAACCCAUCAUGUUGGCGAUGUAAUUAA
Rosa rugosa (rugosa rose) is the source of this 1220-nucleotide long non-coding RNA. RefSeq lists it as uncharacterized. The transcript is spliced from 7 exons. The record is from RefSeq and is a predicted model, not a curated record. NCBI's taxonomy places the organism in Eukaryota, Viridiplantae, Streptophyta, Magnoliopsida, Rosales, Rosaceae.